RNAcentral lists this ribosomal RNA (161 nucleotides) under Dyplolabia sp. RNAcentral's name for it is "partial large subunit ribosomal RNA". It matches the Rfam family "Eukaryotic large subunit ribosomal RNA", at positions 99 to 261 of the family's 3401-position model. Lineage: Eukaryota; Fungi; Ascomycota; Lecanoromycetes; Ostropales; Graphidaceae. The record is from RNAcentral.
CGGCAACAGCUCAGAUUUGAAACCUGGCCCCAGGCCCGGAUUGUAGUCUGUAGAAGGUGCCUCGGGUGCGAUACCGGUCCAAGUUCCUUGGAAUGGGGCGUCACAGAGGGUGAGAAUCCCGUACGUGGCCGGCCGUCAAACCCGUGUGAGGCCCUUUCGAC